Phascolarctos cinereus (koala) is the source of this 1650-nucleotide non-coding RNA. The record is from RefSeq and is a predicted model, not a curated record. Lineage: Eukaryota; Metazoa; Chordata; Mammalia; Diprotodontia; Phascolarctidae.
UGUGCGCAUGCUCCGGGAGCUGAGCGCGCAGGCCCACUGCCGGGAUGGCUCCCCGAGGAGGCCGCGAACCCUGGGUUUGGCGUCGUGUGGGAGGACUCGGGGGCGGAACGUGGGGUGGGCAUCCACCAGGUCUCCACCCUAGGACCUUUUUGCUUCUCUCCUUUCAGAAACAAAGGGCAGAACUGGAAGGGACAAAAGAGGAAGUAUGGAAGCAAACAAAGAGGUGGAAGGGGAAUGAGAAGUAUGAAAGGUGAGCACCGAAGGAGAAGAAAACACAUUUAGGACUAGAAGGAUGCCACGUGACAAGGCAAGUGACUAUAUACAGGAUUUCUCUAGGCUUACAGCAUUAUGGGACAGUCAUCAUCAUCUCCCCCCAUCCCAUGGGACAUACUACCAGUCUGCCUCCUGCAAAAUUGGAACAAAUUCAGCUUGCAAGACUUAAAAAGUCUUUUGUUGCUUCACAUGAAUUUUAUUAUGCUUCCUUUCUCCAAAAAGAAUGUUGUUGGUAAUUCGAUUGGUAGCAAUAAAUAUGUAAGUAAAUUUAAAUAGUACCAUCAUUUUAAUAUUGGCAUUACCUAGCCAUGAGAACUGAAUAUCCUUCCAGUUAUUUCCUUAUUCACAAUUCUAUAUAUACCUGUGAGUGUGCUUUGGUAAAGCAACACCCAGAAAUUUAUUGCAUUUUGUAGUUGUAUUUUUAUAGGACCCCACUUCCUGAUCAUGGUGCCCUGGGUUUUUAUAUAGCUGUAUAGAAACCCUGUUGAUUGUUGUGGAUUUCUUUCAUAAUCUUUACUGAAGCUAUUAUCUCAAUUAUUGUCUUUGGUGAUUCCCUAAGAUUUUCUAAGUAAACUAUCAAGUCAUUAGAAAAUAAUUAUGUUUCCCCUUUGCCUGUUAUUAUGCUUUAAACUUUUAUUUUCUUGUUUUAUUCUUCUUGCUCUUGUUUCCAGAACUAUGAAAAACAGGAAUGUUGGAAGGGGGCAUCCUUGCCUUACUUCUGCAUUUAUUGGUUAAACUUUUAGUGUUUCAACAUUGCUGUAAUGUUAGCUUUGUUUUAGAUGACUUUUAAAGAUAAAAAUUACACGUAUGUGUAUAUAUGUGUGUAUGUACGUAUGUAUAUACGUUCCUUCUAUAUCUAUACUUUGUACAGCAGAUAAUAUAAACAAGUGCUAUAUUUUGUCAAAGUAUGUUUCUGCAUCUUGUGGUUUUAAAGUAUGUUGUUUUUUAAAUGUUGAGCCAUCUUUGCAUGCCUGGAGUAAAUCCAACUUGAUCAAAGUGAGUGUUUUGGGUAAAUUUUUGUCUUUUGGCAGGUUUUUACUUUUAAAUUUUGAAUAUGUUUUAAAUUCUAUUUAUCUUACCCUUCCCUGGUUCAGCUUUUAAGACUAUAUCUCAUAAAAGGAUACUCCUCAUCAUAUUAAGGAAAGUUCACUUAUUUCAGUGCUUUUAGGGUUUGUAAAAGAAACAGGUGUUGAUUUUUGCCAAAAAUUUUUCUGCAUCUAUUGAUACAAUUGUGAUUUUUAUUAUUUUUGUUAAUACCAUAAUAUUAUGCUUUUAUUUUCCUCACCUUGAACUAACCCCUGCAUUAUUGGUAUAAAUACAACUUGCUCAUUAGUGUACAAUCUUUUAAUUGUUAUAGUAAUAUUUUUUGCAUGGAUU